AAGCAAAGGAGGAAAAAUUCAUCGCCGUAAUAACGAAAAUGAUAAACCUCAGCUGUCUUACAGAAGAAUGUCAGAGUUAGACAUUCUGCCAUUUUACCAGGAAAUCUUUACAAACAUGUAGAAAAAUGUGACUGAUAUCUCUUCCCCUGCGGAUGGAGCAACGAAAUUUAUUUCAUCCAGCCAGUCUCUGUCCAGGGAAGUUUACAGAUGUGAUUUUGACUCCUCACGUCAUGUCUAGCAGAGUGCUCUACAACCUUUCCUGGCAGUCCUCUCCAGCAACACACUAAGGAAAUGAUCCACUGAGGGUCAUAUCAGAUGUCACUAAGAGCCAUCUUCCUACUGAUACACAUACCCCUUCAUGACUGCAAGCUUGUAAUAGACCAUCUUCUCAACUGCUGGCAUGGGAGGAGUACCCCUAGAGAGAAUGCACCUUAAGAAUGAGGCAUGCAGAGAUAUCUGGCUCCAACAAUGACAAUGGCUACAAGCAAUGCACUCCACAAACCCCAAACCAACAAACUACAGAACACCAAUAAAGCACAGUACAGAAUUCACAGAUAGUCCAUUUCUUUAGUGGAUUUGGGUGUAGAAUACAGAUGGUGGGAUCACAAG
RNAcentral lists this long non-coding RNA (609 nucleotides) under Canis lupus familiaris (dog). RNAcentral describes it as "lncRNA (ENSCAFG00000050592.1)". Lineage: Eukaryota; Metazoa; Chordata; Mammalia; Carnivora; Canidae. The record is from RNAcentral.